This 1596-nucleotide long non-coding RNA is filed under the name Gallus gallus (chicken). Lineage: Eukaryota; Metazoa; Chordata; Aves; Galliformes; Phasianidae. The record is from RNAcentral.
GUUUCUCAAUCCUUUUGCUCGCUCUGUCUCCGUCUCGUUCUCCUCUCCCCGAGCUCCGCCGCUCCGCUCGGGCUCCUCACGCCCGCUCCGCCGCCGCCUUCCCGGAGCCUCCUAGCAGCGGAUAUUCAUGACUAUUAAUAUUACACGAAUACUUAAUAAGGGAAGAAUGGCCGCAAAUCGAGCGUGAAGCGCGAAGGCAACUCAAGGCAGAGCCCGUUCUAAAUGACGUCCAUUGAAUGAGGAAUCGGUGUAUCUAAUCAGCGCCGGGGAGAGAGGGAGAGAGAGGGAGAGAGAGACAAAAAGGAGGGAGGGAGGGAGCGCGGCGCGCAGGGGGGACAUGCCGCCGCGUCUGGCGAAUCACAGGGAAGGGGCCACAUUUUAAAAGGUUGCGGGGCAUGCAAAAGUGAAAGAGAAAGAGAGCGGAGAGAGGCAGAGGGUGGGAGCCGGGAGGGGUGCGGCGGAGGUGGGAGAACCGUGCGGCGGGGGGAAGGGGGGGGGGAAGAGGGGGGGGAGGGGGGCGCGGGAUCCCCUUUCCUUCUCUCCUUCCCUCCCUCCUCUUCCUCCCUCCCUCCUCGCCCCCAGCCCCGGGCGCACCUCGGGCUGCGGCUGCUGAGCGAAGCCGGGCUCGAAGGCGGCGGCGGAGGAGAAGAGCGGCCGCUCCCGGCUCCCGCCGCCCUCCGCCCCGCCGCCCUCGCGCGGGGGGGGCUCCGCCGGCGCCGCCGCCGCCCCGUCCAUGCCCCGCCGAGGGGUCCCCGCUCCGCUGUCGCCGCCGCGUCCUGGAAAGUUGUCCUCCUCCUCCUCUUCCUCCCGCACCUCGAGCCCCGCCAGCAUCCGCCGCCCCCCGCUCGGAGGAGCCGGGAAAAGAGGAGGGAAGGAAGGGACGAAGGGAGGAAGGAGGGCGGGCGGGACGCGGGGGGGAGAAGGAGAAAGCCGGGCACGGCGGGAGGGAGGCACGGCGAGCUCUCCUCCGUCCGGCCCAGACACGCCGGGCCCCGCGCAACCCGUCCGACUGGCUGCGCGACUCCGGCACCGCCCUCCGCGCCGCUCCUCUGCCCCUAUCCCGGCCCCGGCUCCGCACUGCGCCGGGCCUUGACGGGACGAAAUCGGCGCCCGCGGGGGCCGGGGCCGAAGACCCGACGGCAGCGGCACGCAGGCGGCGCUGACCCACGACGGCGGCCCUGGGGCGGGGAGGAGGCGAAGUUCUCGCCGCGCCUUCGGCCGAGGGACGGAAUAAUCGUUAUAAUAAUCGUAAUAAAAUAAAAAAGCUCCCCGGCGCCCCGUUGCCAGACGUCGCGUAUCCGACAGCUCGGCCUCGCUCCGAGCAGCGGCUGCGUCCCAGCGCUCGGGGCAGGGCUGAAGCACCGCAUCCUUCGGUCCUCGGCGGUUCCCCGGCCCCUGCCCUACGCCGCGGCAUCGCCCGGCCCCAAAUCAGUACAUUCGUUGGCACGGUGCAGUCCUUUUAUUGAUCCGCGCCGCAAGGAGAACUUUUGUGGAAGCGCUUUACCCGCAGCCGGAGCGCCUCAUUAGCAUAGCGACCGCGGCCCAAUUGCUCGCCGGCUCCGACCCGCGCCCGCCGCAGCUGUUCUCUUCCCCCUC